AUACUCACAUAGCACAUGAUCAGGAAGGUGGUUUUCCAGGGCAAAGCUUAUCUAUUGCAGUCUGGAUGUGCUGCCCCUGUGAUUUCCCCAAAUGUGGGAAAUUUAACUGCAUAAUUUGUGAUAAUAUGGUAAUGGGGGAUUGAGUUCUACCUUU
This 154-nucleotide small nuclear RNA is filed under the name Panthera leo (lion). RNAcentral's name for it is "U1 spliceosomal RNA (ENSPLOG00000012249.1)". It matches the Rfam family "U1 spliceosomal RNA". From Rfam's summary of the family: U1 is a small nuclear RNA (snRNA) component of the spliceosome (involved in pre-mRNA splicing). Its 5' end forms complementary base pairs with the 5' splice junction, thus defining the 5' donor site of an intron. There are significant differences in sequence and secondary structure between metazoan and yeast U1 snRNAs, the latter being much longer (568 nucleotides as compared to 164 nucleotides in human). Lineage: Eukaryota; Metazoa; Chordata; Mammalia; Carnivora; Felidae. The record is from RNAcentral.